RNAcentral lists this unclassified non-coding RNA (426 nucleotides) under Hevea brasiliensis (rubber tree). The record is from RNAcentral. Lineage: Eukaryota; Viridiplantae; Streptophyta; Magnoliopsida; Malpighiales; Euphorbiaceae.
AGAGAAACAAAGUUUCCAAAUAUAAUUUUCAAGGAAGACAAGAAAUAUAAAUUGAAAGGCAUGAGAAUGAUAGCUAUUUUAGUUAUUGAACCAAUUAAAGACAUCACAUAGAAUGAACAAACGAGGACAAGCCCUUUGAUUAAAAAGAGAGUAACAUCGAAAUGAAUUUGCACUUAUGUUGCCAUGAAUUUAUCAUAGCUUGAAAAACUACUUUCGCCACUUAAAAUACGUAAUUAAGAAGGCAAUUAAAGCAAGGGAAAGGCAAGCAGAAUGAGGAAAGCGAGAGUGUGAAAGAAUUGUAAUAGGGAAAUUGGUGAAAUGAAGAAAAGGAGAAUGAAAUCGAAAACAAUAAUGUAUAAACAUAAACGUAAAUUGACUUUUGAAAGCUAUUGGACAAGUGUAUUGUCUAUUGAAGGUAGAAUAAGA